This 1034-nucleotide long non-coding RNA is filed under the name Ananas comosus (pineapple). RNAcentral describes it as "long non-coding RNA (ACOM_LNC002710)". The record is from RNAcentral. Lineage: Eukaryota; Viridiplantae; Streptophyta; Magnoliopsida; Poales; Bromeliaceae.
AUACAUUAUUCUCCAAAACAAAAGCCACGUGGCGGAGUUUUCUUCCUUCAGCGAAACCAUCUCUUUGCCUUUCCUUCACCUAUAACGUCUAAUUAAUAAUCCACUAACCUAUCCACUGACCUUAACCCAACCCUUCAUCUUUUCUAUACACAUAACGUCGACUUCUCUCCACCUAUAACAUCUAAUUAAUAGUUCGCUCACCUUAGUCCAACCCUUCACCUUUCCUACAAACAUAACGUCUAAUUAAUGAUUCACCUACUUUAAUCCUAAUCUAAACAGUAAAUUUUUUCUUCUUCUCUACUUUCUUUUCCUCCUCCAUGAGCUCCGAAGCUAAGAUCAAGCACAUUAUGUGGAUAGAGUAUAAGUUUGCACGCUGCAUCGCCGAGCUUAGCGUUGUCAUCUUCAUCAAAUCGAGCUUUCCUUCAAAUUUUAGGAGUUAUUUUAAAAGAUUUAUGUAUUCUUUAUGUUGUAUUGUUGAAAUUUCUUAGAUAGUUUUAUUCAGUUUUUUUAUAUUUUUUUUAUUUGCAUGGUAUUCAAACUAAUGUGUUUAUUAUGUUAAAGAUUUAUUGUUUUUUUCUUUUUCUAUCCUUUUUUUUUAUAUUUUUUUUUGCGAAAGUAAAGUUCUGUAUUAUAUUUAUUGUAUUUGGUUGUGUUAGGUUGUAUAUCUUUUUGUCUCUUAAAAAUUUAUUAUAUAAUUUUUCAUAUGCUUACUUUGUUUCUACUUUCAUGACUCUUUUUAUUAACUGAUAUAAGAUGUUUAUAAAAUUAGAUUGAUAUAUGAUCUAAAAAGGUCUUUAUUUUCUUGAAGGGAUAAGUAUCUUAGCUUAUAUAGAAAAUGAGGGAAUAAAAAUAUAACUUAUACAAAAAAAGUUUAACUCUUUGAUUGUUUUGAUUUAUAAAAUAUUAAUUUUUAUUAGAUUUUUUAUCUAAAUCUCUCCCAAAUAAUAUGUCAUUUUUCGUCUCAAUAGGUUAUCAUACUUAUUAUCUUUCUAUGAAUAUUUUGUUACUAAUCAACUUUAGCAAAUUAAUAAACU